This 637-nucleotide unclassified non-coding RNA is filed under the name Melitaea cinxia (Glanville fritillary). RNAcentral's name for it is "misc RNA ENSMCXG00005000845.1". Lineage: Eukaryota; Metazoa; Arthropoda; Insecta; Lepidoptera; Nymphalidae. The record is from RNAcentral.
CAAUCAAUGCAAUUACCGUAAUGAGAAUACACAACUUAAUUUUCUUCUCAGUUUCAAGCAUAUUUUACUACAUUGUUAAUGCUGUAUCUAUCAUAAAAACAAAAAAAAUGAUUUUGAGUGAUGCAGAUGGUAUUCAAUUUGAGUGGUAGAGCGUUUGAUUGAACGCAACUUUGCCAUGCGAAGUGUCGUGUCAGACGUGAUAUGGACUAAAAUGUACUUUGUUUCAUACUAAACAUAAUUAUGUUGAAGAGAAUAAUUGAAACAUUUUUUUUUUCCCAUUUCAUGUCAAAAUAUCGAGUUCCGCAAAAUGAAAAUAAAAAAGAUGGUAAAUAUCCCGCUUAUGAAUAUUUUAAUUGAAACAUCAUAAAAAGUGUUAUCAAUCGACCCAUGGUUUGAAUGAGCUAAUUGUGUUGCUUUGAGAAAGAUAAAGAAAAUGUUAGGAUCUUAGCGGAGUCAAUACAAUAAAUAACAAUAAUAAAUCGAAAAACUUGAUGCAGACUGUAUAAUAUAUAGAUAGUGUCUAUACUAUCAUUUUAAAGAUUGUUUUGGAGGUAGCCCAUAGAGGAGUAAUCGAGUAUAUUGAACAAUUUGUCAGAGGUACUGAGGUGUUUGUUACUAUAUAGUUUUAUUUCAUACC